GCCGCGAGUCGCGCGCCGCACCCGGUGACCUCCGAGGGCUGGAGCGCUCAGGCUCCUGCGCUCGAUGGCGGCGGCCGGCGGUCCCGCGACCCGCGGCGGGCACAAGCAGCGGCACGUCCCCCGCCCCGAGGCCGCUGCCGCCCCCCCGGCUCGGGGGUAGGGGAGCCCCCCACCCUCCCCCGCCCGCCCCCUCGCCUGACUCAGCCGCGCUCGGUGGCCACGCCGCGUCCGCUGCCCGAGCCCCGCCGGGAUGGGGAGGGAGCCCGAGGCUGCCCGCGGCUGCCGAGAUUCCCGCUGACGCCCCCGAGCCCGCCGCCGCCUCCUUCGCUGGUUCCGGAGGCGCCCGACGUCCCAACUGCUCCUGCAGUGCGAGUCCCGAAAGGCGACUGGACCCCUGAGGCCCCGCGCUCAGGACAGAUGAAGAGAGAUGAAUUAAAGUCCCCUGGCACUAUUGUAUUUCUAUUAUGUUUUGCAUCUCUGCAAAUUCUACCUGGUGAAUGUUACUCCUCUGGAAUUUCCAUCUUCACGGUAAGUUACACACCUUAGCACUGACUUACUUAAUGGUCUUUGGGUGGAAGUCCAGUCUGUCUGAUACUAGGACUGCGACCUGAUAUUUCUUCUUCCUCUCUUCUCUCACCCCUCACCUUCUCUCCCUGUCGUAGUCAUUGGUAUUAUCUCGCUCAGUAUUUAUCUUUGUACUGUUGGAUAUCUCAUACUUACGUUACUCGGUCUGGGAUUUAUUAGGUUGCGUUUUCUUUACAUAUAUUUGUCCAUUUAAAAUUAUUCAAACACCUUCCAUUUGUUUUAAGUACCCCUUGCAGAGAACAGAGAGUUAGAUACUGCUUUGUGGCUCCCUCUGAAAACCUGUUUCUUUUCAUAGGUGAGUGAGACUUUUCUUUUUCUUUCUUUUUUUUUUUUUUACAAAGAGAUAUGACAGCUAUGUAUUGUUUUAGCUUUGUCAUUUUUUGGUUUGUUUAUACAGUCUUAUCAAAGUAUUUCGUUAUGUAGUCUAUUUGGUUAGCUUAGAUUUAAUUUUAAAAAAAGAGUUCUGAUAUAUUGAAAGACAUAUUUUGAUUCUAGUGGUUUCAUUUGUAAUUAUAAUUGUAUAUACUAUCUUUAGG
RNAcentral lists this long non-coding RNA (1121 nucleotides) under Felis catus (domestic cat). Its description in RNAcentral is "lncRNA (ENSFCAG00000051572.1)". Lineage: Eukaryota; Metazoa; Chordata; Mammalia; Carnivora; Felidae. The record is from RNAcentral.